Molecule: ribosomal RNA, 253 nt
Filed under: uncultured bacterium
Lineage: Bacteria
Description: partial 16S ribosomal RNA
Rfam family: Bacterial small subunit ribosomal RNA
Source: RNAcentral
UACGAAGGGGGCUAGCGUUGCUCGGAAUCACUGGGCGUAAAGGGUGCUUAGGCGGGUCUUUAAGUCAGGGGUGAAAUCCUGGAGCUCAACUCCAGAACUGCCUUUGAUACUGAGGAUCUUGAGUUCGGGAGAGGUGAGUGGAACUGCGAGUGUAGAGGUGAAAUUCGUAGAUAUUCGCAAGAACACCAGUGGCGAAGGCGGCUCACUGGCCCGAUACUGACGCUGAGGCGCGAAAGCGUGGGGAGCAAACAGG